This 544-nucleotide ribosomal RNA is filed under the name uncultured bacterium. RNAcentral's name for it is "bacterial SSU rRNA". It matches the Rfam family "Bacterial small subunit ribosomal RNA", at positions 777 to 1320 of the family's 1533-position model. The record is from RNAcentral.
AAUAGAUACCCCGGUAGUCCACCCCGUAAACGUUGGGAACUAGUUGUGGGGUCCAUUCCACGGAUUCCGUGACGCAGCUAACGCAUUAAGUUCCCCGCCUGGGGAGUACGGCCGCAAGGCUAAAACUCAAAGGAAUUGACGGGGUACCCGCACAAGCGGCGGAGCAUGCGGAUUAAUUCGAUGCAACGCGAAGAACCUUACCAAGGCUUGACAUAUAGAGGAAACGGCUGGAAACAGUCGCCCCGCAAGGUCUCUAUACAGGUGGUGCAUGGUUGUCGUCAGCUCGUGUCGUGAGAUGUUGGGUUAAGUCCCGCAACGAGCGCAACCCUCGUUCUAUGUUGCCAGCACGUAAUGGUGGGAACUCAUGGGAUACUGCCGGGGUCAACUCGGAGGAAGGUGGGGAUGACGUCAAAUCAUCAUGCCCCUUAUGUCUUGGGCUUCACGCAUGCUACAAUGGCCGGUACAAAGGGCUGCAAUACCGUAAGGUGGAGCGAAUCCCAAAAAGCCGGUCCCAGUUCGGAUUGAGGUCUGCAACUCGACCUCA